Molecule: ribosomal RNA, 600 nt
Filed under: uncultured bacterium
Lineage: Bacteria
Description: bacterial SSU rRNA
Rfam family: Bacterial small subunit ribosomal RNA
Source: RNAcentral
UGCAAGUCGAACGCAUCCUUCGGGGUGAGUGGCAGACGGGUGAGUAACACGUGGGAACGUGCCCUCCGGUCUGGGAUAACCCUGGGAAACUAGGGCUAAUACCGGAUACGUGCUUUGGCAGAAAGGUUUACUGCCGGAGGAUCGGCCCGCGUCUGAUUAGCUUGUUGGUGGGGUAACGGCCUACCAAGGCGACGAUCAGUAGCUGGUCUGAGAGGAUGAUCAGCCACACUGGGACUGAGACACGGCCCAGACUCCUACGGGAGGCAGCAGUGGGGAAUAUUGGACAAUGGGCGCAAGCCUGAUCCAGCCAUGCCGCGUGAGUGAUGACGGCCUUAGGGUUGUAAAGCUCUUUUCUCCGGGACGAUAAUGACGGUACCGGAGGAAUAAGCCCCGGCUAACUUCGUGCCAGCAGCCGCGGUAAUACGAAGGGGGCUAGCGUUGCUCGGAAUCACUGGGCGUAAAGGGCGCGUAGGCGGCGUUUUAAGUCGGGGGUGAAAGCCUGUGGCUCAACCACAGAAUGGCCUUCGAUACUGGGACGCUUGAGUAUGGUAGAGGUUGGUGGAACUGCGAGUGUAGAGGUGAAAUUCGUAGAUAUUCGCA